CUAAAAUGAUAAAACCAUUUAUUACAUGAAAAGGGUGAAAUAUGACUAAAAUUGCAAAGUUUGUUUAUGUCACGUUUAUCAUAUUUUCUCAAAUUUUUGCUACUAUGAAAGUUGAAUCGUUAUAUCCUAAUAUGACAUGUUCUAGUGAUUCGAAUUGUCCUCCAUCUAGGUGUCAAAGACCUAUGAUAGCAAAGUGUAUCAGAAAAUGGUGUAGAUGUGUAUCAGAAAAUGGUGUAGAUGUGUAGCUAGAGAAGAGUUUAUACCUCCUUAGUUUUGUAAAUAAAAUCAUUGUUGUUGUCUAUUUGAAUAAACUAGUAGAAGACCCGUGCGUUCGUACGAGUUUGACUUUUACAAAAUAAAAGUUAAGAAAUAUAUAUAAUGAAAGAAGAAGUAAGCGGGAAACAUAGCAAUUAUGAAUCCGAGUACUAAUCACGUAGUCAUGAAUGUAAUAGUACAAGACAAUAUGUAAUUGUAAUGAGAUAAGUAAAAGUGAAUUACAUAGCAAAAAUAUAUCAGAACGACUAAUAAUAAAGAAGAUAGUGUCGAUACGCAAAAUGACACGACUUGUAUACUGCAGGUAGCCUUGAAUAGAAAAAUCUUCAAGUCACCUGAAAUCAUUAGUAUUGAUAAAUGAAAUUAUGUUUUUCUUUAUAA
Molecule: long non-coding RNA, 654 nt
Organism: Vicia villosa (hairy vetch)
Lineage: Eukaryota; Viridiplantae; Streptophyta; Magnoliopsida; Fabales; Fabaceae
Exons: 2
Source: RefSeq, a predicted model, not a curated record